UACGUAGGGUGCAAGCGUUAAUCGGAAUUACUGGGCGUAAAGCGUGCGCAGGCGGUGAUGUAAGACAGUUGUGAAAUCCCCGGGCUCAACCUGGGAACUGCAUCUGUGACUGCAUUGCUGGAGUGCGGCAGAGGGGGAUGGAAUUCCGCGUGUAGCAGUGAAAUGCGUAGAUAUGCGGAGGAACACCGAUGGCGAAGGCAAUCCCCUGGGCCUGCACUGACGCUCAUGCACGAAAGCCUGGGGAGCAAACAGG
RNAcentral lists this ribosomal RNA (253 nucleotides) under uncultured bacterium. RNAcentral describes it as "partial 16S ribosomal RNA". It matches the Rfam family "Bacterial small subunit ribosomal RNA", at positions 524 to 776 of the family's 1533-position model. The record is from RNAcentral.